This 467-nucleotide ribosomal RNA is filed under the name uncultured bacterium. RNAcentral describes it as "partial 16S ribosomal RNA". It matches the Rfam family "Bacterial small subunit ribosomal RNA", at positions 28 to 507 of the family's 1533-position model. The record is from RNAcentral.
GACGAACGCUGGCGGCGUGCUUAACACAUGCAAGUCGAACGGAAAGGCCCUGCUUUUGUGGGGUGCUCGAGUGGCGAACGGGUGAGUAACACGUGAGUAACCUGCCCUUGACUUUGGGAUAACUUCAGGAAACUGGGGCUAAUACCGGAUAGGAGCUCCUGCUGCAUGGUGGGGGUUGGAAAGUUUCGGCGGUUGGGGAUGGACUCGCGGCUUAUCAGCUUGUUGGUGGGAUAGUGGCUUACCAAGGCUUUGACGGGUAGCCGGCCUGAGAGGGUGACCGGCCACAUUGGGACUGAGAUCCGGCCCAGACUCCAACGGGAGGCAGAAGGGGGAGUAUUGCACAAUGGACGGAAGCCUGAUGCAGCAACGCCGCGUGCGGGAUGACGGCCUUCGGGUUGUAAACCGCUUUCGCCUGUGACGAAGCGUGAGUGACGGUAAUGGGUAAAGAAGCACCGGCUAACUACGUG